GAAAGUAAAUAAGGGUACACGGGGGAUGCCUUGGCUCUCAGAGGCGAUGAAAGACGUGAUAAGCUGCGAUAAGCUACGGGGAUUUGCAAAUAAGAUUUGAUCCGUAGAUUUCUGAAUGGGGAAACCUAAUUAGUUGAAGACUAAUUGCAAACAUGCGCAAACCUGCUGAACUGAAACAUCUAAGUAAGCAGAGGAAGAGAAAAUAAUAAUGAUUUCCAGAGUAGUGGCGAGCGAAAUGGAAGAAGCCCAAACCUAUAUUGUUACGGCAAUAUGGGGGUUGUAGGACCACAACAUGACUAUCAAAUAAAACCGGAAGGGGGUGGGAAACCCCGCCAUAGAGCAUGACAGCUGCGUACGGGUAAUAGAUGAUAAGAUAGUGGUAUCCUGAGUACCGCGAGGUCGGAGACGCCUUGUGGGAAUCUGCCGGCACCAUCCGGUAAGGCUAAAUACUCCUGAGAGACCGAUAGUGAACCAGUACCGUGAGGGAAAGGUGAAAAGAACCCCGAACAGGGGAGUGAAAUAGAACCUGAAACCGUGUACUUACAAGCGGUCGGAGCGGACUUGUUCCGUGACGGCGUGCCUUUUGCAUAAUGAGCCUACGAGUUACUCUUCCCUGGCAAGGUUAAGUGUUUAAGACACGGAUCCGAAGCGAAAGCGAGUCUGAAUAGGGCGUAUAGUCAGGGGAGGUAGACGCGAAACCUUGUGAUCUACCCAUGGGCAGGUUGAAGGUGCCGUAACAGGUACUGGAGGACCGAACCGAUAAACGUUGAAAAGUUUCCGGAUGACUUGUGGGUAGGGGUGAAAGGCUAAUCAAACUGGGAAAUAGCUCGUACUCCCCGAAAUGUUUUUAGGAACAGCCUGGCGGUUGAGUUAUAAAGAGGUAGAGCUACUAAUUGGGUGCGGGGGAGUCAAAUCCUACCAAAUCCAGAUAAACUCCGAAUGCUUUAUAAUAUACGCUGGAGUGAGGCUCUGGGUGCUAAGGUCCAGGGCCGAGAGGGAAAGAACCCAGACCAUCAGCUAAGGUCCCCAAAUUACUGCUAAGUUGAACUAACGAGGUCCGAUUGCACAGACAGCUAGGAUGUUGGCUUGGAAGCAGCCAUUCAUUUAAAGAGUGCGUAACAGCUCACUAGUCGAGCGAUCGGGCAUGGAUAAUAAACGGGCAUUAAGCAGUAUACCGAAGCUAUGGAUUUGCAGUAAUGCAUCUGGUAGGGGAGCAUUCUAUAUGCCGGCGAAGCAGGAGGGACAACCGACUGUGGAGGUUAUAGAAAAGCAAAUGUAGGCAUAAGUAACGAUAAGGCGGGAGAGAAACCCGCCCACCGAAAGACUAAGGUUUCCUGAUCAACGCUAAUCGGAUCAGGGUUAGUCGGGGCCUAAGGUGAAGCCGAAGGGCGUAGCCGAUGGAUAACUGGUUAAUAUUCCAGUACUUUUUAUAACUGCGAUGCGGUGACGGAGUAGUGACACUGACGCGAACUGACGGAAUAGUUCGUUAAAGGCCGUAGGUAUAGGAUUUGUAGUUAAGUACGCAGAUCUUGCUGAAAGCUGAUAGUAUACCAAAUCUUCGGAGGCGGUAAUAGUUCAGGUAAUCAGACUUCCAAGAAAACCCGCUAAGCUUCAGGUUAUAAAAACCCGUACCGUAAACCGACACAGGUAGUCGAGGAGAGAAUCCUAAGGUGCUCGAGUGAAUCAUGGCUAAGGAACUCGGCAAAAUGGCCCUGUAACUUCGGGAGAAGGGGCGCUGGUAGUAAUGCCAGCCGCAGUGAAAAGGCCCAGGCGACUGUUUAACAAAAACACAUGGCUAUGCAAAAUCGAAAGAUGACGUAUAUGGCCUGACACCUGCCCGGUGCCGGAAGGUUAAGAGGGGAUGUUAGUCGCAAGGCGAAGCAUUGAAUCGAAGCCCCGGUAAACGGCGGCCGUAACUAUAACGGUCCUAAGGUAGCGAAAUUCCUUGUCGGGUAAGUUCCGACCUGCACGAAUGGUGUAACGAUCUGGGCGCUGUCUCAGCCAUGAGCUCGGUGAAAUUGUGGUAUCGGUGAAGACGCCGGUUACCCGCAACGGGACGGAAAGACCCCAUGCACCUUCACUACAACUUAACAUUGAUAUCGGAUACAGGAUGUGUAGGAUAGGUGGGAGACUGUGAUCAUGCUUCGCCAGGAGUAUGUUAGUCAACGUUGAAAUACCACCCUUUCUGUAUUUGGUGUCUAACUCUGCAAAGCGGAGGACAUUGUUUGGCGGGUAGUUUGACUGGGGUGGUCGCCUCCAAAAAGGUAACGGAG
RNAcentral lists this ribosomal RNA (2273 nucleotides) under Craterellus lutescens. RNAcentral describes it as "bacterial LSU rRNA". It matches the Rfam family "Bacterial large subunit ribosomal RNA", at positions 1 to 2305 of the family's 2925-position model. Lineage: Eukaryota; Fungi; Basidiomycota; Agaricomycetes; Cantharellales; Hydnaceae. The record is from RNAcentral.